Molecule: ribosomal RNA, 253 nt
Filed under: uncultured bacterium
Lineage: Bacteria
Description: partial 16S ribosomal RNA
Rfam family: Bacterial small subunit ribosomal RNA
Source: RNAcentral
UACGGGGGGGGCAAGCGUUGUUCGGAAUUACUGGGCGUAAAGGGCUCGUAGGUGGCCAACUAAGUCAGACGUGAAAUCCCUCGGCUUAACCGGGGAACUGCGUCUGAUACUGGAUGGCUUGAAUCCGGGAGAGGGACGUGGAAUUCCAGGUGUAGCGGUGAAAUGCGUAGAUAUCUGGAGGAACACCGGUGGCGAAGGCGACGUCCUGGACCGGCAUUGACGCUGAGGCGCGAAAGCCAGGGGAGCAAACGGG